CCGUUAGUUUUUACACCCGUAGUGAAUUCUUAGGUGUAAUUUUUCUAUAUUUAUAAAAUAUAGUACAAAGGUAAUUAAUUCAACUUAAUUUUAGCUACUAUCACGUGUAAACAAUAGGAGAGAACGUCAUUGUGUACAAACACCUGCGUUUAUACACGAUAAGAGUCGGCUGCUACGUCACUUCCGUUUCGUUAUUGUCGCCGUGGUUGUACGAAAUCGACUGCUUUGAACAAGAUUGCUUAGACCUUUCAUAAAAUGCAUAUAAGCCAAGACCUUCCCGUCUUUUUGUAUAGGGCUAUAUUUGGACAAUGAGUUUUUUUUUUUUUUUGGGGGGGGGUAACCAAAAAGGUGUGUUUUGGAGAAAUUUGAUUGCUAUUCUAAGCAGGUCGAACGAUGUAGAAAUUCUAGAUGCGGUGAAGUACACAUCAUUGGACUCAGGCCAUGCUGAUGUACUGCCUUGAAGAGUUUAGUUGGACAAAACUUUGUUUGUUUGUUUUUAUGUAUGUAUGUGUGCAUGAUGCAUUCAUGAUGCAUGCAUGCAUGCAUAUAUUGUCUAACAAUCCAUUAAUUAAAAAAAAACAGGCACUGAUAUAUCUAAAAAUAGCAGAAGAAUAUCAAUAAAAAUAUACUAUUAUAGACCUAUUCUAGCUGAUCUUACUAAUCAGUUUUGCACAAAAUAUUACACAAUCAGAUAUCAUCUAAUAACAGUGCUCAUCAGAGAUGGCCAGUUUAGCAUUCUUUGAUAAAAAUAAAACAAAAUCACAAUUAUGGGAGGGACUCACCAUGAGUCAUGUCCCUUGUUCCACCCCUCCUGAAGCUUGUGUAAGUUGUGAUUGCCUAAGAGAUAGGUGGGGUCGAAAUGAGUGUAGGUAUUCUUUUUCUUUUUGGAGGGGUUGAUACAUGUGUAGGGUGCAUAAAACCGUAACCUCAUGUAUGGAUGCAUACGCAUAGGUAUGUUGAUGUGUGUGGUAUGGUGUGGUCAGAUCUUUAUUGAACUCUCAGGUUGUGAUGGUGAAAAACUGAUAGUGGAAGUCCUUGAAUUUAUAAUCAUGGUGGAGCCUGCAGAUAAAUCAAAAAUAAAAUAAAAUACGUAUGAAAUGUCAUAGCAAAAUGAAAUAUAAAAAGUGUAUCACAAUUUGCUUAGUCACUGACAUAUGAAAACUGGAUACAAUGACUCCAGAACAAGUUUUACAGACAUUAAUGUACAAAGAAGAAAGUUAUAAAAUAUGUAGAUUGAUUUAUCUAUUCAUAGAUCAACAACCGAAAAGUUCAUGUUUACAACACGUGUGUGUGUGUGUGAAAAGCAAAAAGAAUGUGAAUACACAUAGAAAAGAAGGUUUAUAUUCCUACACAUAUGUGCAUGCACGUGUGUGUGUGCGUGCACGUGCAUGCAUGCACAAGAGGAAAGAAGAAUUAAAUUUGGUAGUGAAAAGUCUUGUAGUUCUCUGGAAUUAUAUUAGCUUAUUUGAAACAGUAACAAAAAAAAAAGACUAAAAUAAAAGUAUGAAAGAUGUCUUGAUCAGUUGUCAUCAGUGAUUUGAUUGCACUCUUCCAGCUGUUUUAAUAAUUUGACUGUGACAUGACUUUAUUCAUCCUAGCUCUGCAGCCUCUCUCCAUGUUUCAAGGAAAAGAUGUCUUAUAUAAAGCCUAAUGUUCACAGUUAUUUAUAUGUGUGAAUCAUUCAGAAUUCAGAAAACUCCCUUUUUUCUCUCAGCCCAAGAAGAUUCUCUGUUACCAAUUGGCUUUUCUUAGGUCAUCUGGUUUUUCAAUAAAUAUUUAUGUUUUUUU
Long non-coding RNA from Octopus bimaculoides (California two-spot octopus), 1788 nucleotides. RefSeq lists it as uncharacterized. Lineage: Eukaryota; Metazoa; Mollusca; Cephalopoda; Octopoda; Octopodidae. The record is from RefSeq and is a predicted model, not a curated record.